GAUGAAGAACGUAGUGAAAUGCGAUAAGUAAUGUGAAUUGCAGAAUUCAGUGAAUCAUCGAAUCUUUGAACGCACAUUGCGCCCGCCAGCACUCUGGCGGGCAUGCCUGUCCGAGCGUCAUUUCAACCCUCAGGCCCCCCGGGGACUGGUGUUGGGGAUCGGCCCGCCCUGGCGCGGCGCCGUCCCCGAAAUACAGUGGCGGUCUCGCUGCAGCCUCCCCUGCGUAGUAGCACACCUCGCAUUGGAGAGCGGCGCGGCCACGCCGUGAAACCCCAACUUCUGAUAGUUGACCUCGGAUCAGGUAGGAAUACCCGCUGAACUUAAGCAUAUCAAUAAGCGGAGGA
Molecule: unclassified non-coding RNA, 344 nt
Filed under: soil metagenome
Description: partial contains 5.8S ribosomal RNA, internal transcribed spacer 2, and large subunit ribosomal RNA
Rfam family: 5.8S ribosomal RNA (bases 1-120)
Source: RNAcentral